This is a long non-coding RNA of Sciurus carolinensis (gray squirrel), 5657 nucleotides long. RefSeq lists it as uncharacterized. The transcript is spliced from 8 exons. The record is from RefSeq and is a predicted model, not a curated record. Lineage: Eukaryota; Metazoa; Chordata; Mammalia; Rodentia; Sciuridae.
AAUUCACCCUGGACUCUGCAACCUGCCUCCUGUCAUGAGCCAGGGCUACAUCCACCCACCUUCAGGACUGUCCUGCCAUGUGACCAGAGUAGGGGCAGGCAGUUUCUGUACAGGCAGAAGGUCACGAGGGACCCGGAGUUCCUCUUGUGCUUGACCUUCGGCAGACCUGUUCUAGGCCGAGGCCAGGGCAAAGGGGCUCCUGGCUCUUGACGCUUCUCCCAGCAGAGUCACUGCCCGCGGCCUCGUUCUAGAAACACCCUUGGGGCGGAGCCUAUCUCUCCCCGAGCUUCGGUUCAUUCUAAGCAACAUUCAUGGAGGAUGGCGGACUGCCACGUGGGGAACAGGCCUGGGGCUGCCCUCAGCGUCCACACACCACGCUAUGUACACGUAUAUACAGGGGACCGGGAUGGGCUGCCCAGACUCAGACGGCGGACGCCAGCUUCCGCUUGGUGCUCUCGCUGCAGCGGUGCAGGAUGAGGUCAGCGCUGGGUCUCGGGGGCACCGCGGGCUGCGGCUUCGCACACUGGGUCUGCAGAUUGUCCUCUGCAGGAAAACCGCAAGGCGGGUGAGAGGCCCCCGCCCCCGCGUCUCUGGCCCCGCCUCCGAGCCCUUGGCUCCGCCCACCCCCUGCGCCGCGUCGCUCUCGGAUCCCGCCUGCUCGUCCUCCCUCUCCGCCUGGCUCCGCCCCUGAGCUCGCCCCGCCCAUCGCGCCCUCUGGGCACGCCCCUAGCCCGUGGUCCCGCCUCGCCCUCUAGCGCUCGCUCCGCCCCAAGUCCCAACCCCGCCUCGCCCCGCCUGGGUCAGCGCUCACCCUGAGAGCUCCCUGCGCUCUGCGGCCCCGGCCGCGCCAGGCGGCGGCGCUGCUGCAGGAAACGGACGCUGUUGCGGCGAUAGGCGUCCUGGCUGAGGCGCUUCCGCGACCGCUGGUGGAUGCUGUGCGCAUUGCGGAUGGUCGACCUGGCCCAGCAGGAGGGAGCGACAUUAGAACCGGUCCCCCGCCGCACCCGCGUCCCUGCCACCAGGACUCGGGUGGCACACCCCAACCCCGGGGUCCAAAGACGGGCCGAGCGAGUGGGGAGCGGGCUGGAGGUCUCCACGACCCGGGCGGGCGGGACGAGAUGCAUCUGCUGCCCAGCCCCGGCCCGCCUCCCGCGCACCUUGCUGGUCUUCCCUUCCCCGGAAGCCCCCCGGGACUUCCCGGUAUUCACCGCACACCCUAAGGGCCCGGAACAUAGGCGGCUGCGCCUCUGCCUCCCGUCCCGCGGUCCUCCACAACCCCUCCCCCACCCCCACCCCCACCCCCACCCCCGGCCUGCCCCGCCCGGCCCCGCGAUCCUUCCGCACCUGCGGGGCGGAGCCCCUCGGCUCUUGAUCUGGCGCUGGGCCUGGGCGGGGUCCUGUCCCGACUUCUGCAGGUACAUGGACGGAAAGUAGCCAGUGACAUCCUCCUUCCUGCAACAGAGCCAGCCCUUGAGGCCCGGGCAGAGGUGGGGGGCUGGGGCGGAGGGCAGGCCUAGAGGCUGCAGAGAACCAGGUGCCGCCCGCUGGGCCUCAAUGUCCCCACCCGUGCCCGCGCAGCGCCCUCCCAGCUCUUCUUCUGGGAAGGGGAAGGAAGUUAGAAGGAUCCUAGUCUCCCAGGGGUCAUGUGCUCGCUAAAGGACAUCUGCAGAAUUAUUCUUGUCAGCCUUUUCUUUUAUGGUGAUUGCCUUUGUGUUUUCACGAAUGUCGCCACGUUCUUCUCUGCCUUCCAAUCACUUUUUAGGUUUUACCCUUGGUGAAAACCUGUGAUUCAUUCAAAAUACAUGUUAUAGUGUGAGGCCGAGGUCUGGGCUUUUCUGCUUUUUACUUUUUCUCCCCAAAGAAUAUGCAGCUGUUCCAGUACCAUUUCUUGGUAAGAUUUUCCUUUCCAUUCUCAAUACUAUACUUGGGGGUGAAAACGAAAAUCUUUGCAAAGCACAGAAGUCACAAGGUGAAACCCCAAUUCUUGGCAGGUGAGAGAAUCACAAAAAGGUUCCUGGUGCGCAUGCCGGGUGUGAACUGGAUGUGGGUCUGAGGUGAGGAAAACUGCCUCAAAAUGAGCUCCCAGCCCAGGGCCACGCUGGGAUGCAUGUUGUGACCCAGCCGCGAAGUAAGGGCAUGGGGUGACCAGGUGGCCUAGGGCUCUGAAAACACAGGCCCUGGGAGGUCCCCUGGCUGCAGAGAUUGUUUUCCCCAGAACCAGAAAAAAAUAGCAUUCUGACAUUCAUUAGGAGGAGUAUCGAUGGGAAUUGCAACGCAAGCUUUCCAAGCUGUGAUGUCGCCAGUGUGCCUUCAUCACAUGUGAUACAACAGCUGUGCUGCUAGAGGAAGAAAACUUGGGGGACCAGCCCGAAGAGACCCUAAGUCUCAAAGGGGAAGUGUGCCCACUUGGACCAGAACAGUGAACCCCACAGGACAGGCAGGAUGGGUUCACACCUGCCCUGGCUCCUGUGAUGAAAGCUGAGCCCAGAGAGGGGCAGCGGCUCUCCCAGUCACACAGCCAAGCCAGCUCAGAGCCCACACAGGCUCUGCCCAGGCCAGUGCUGACUCAGGAGGCUCCUAGCGGGGAGGCGCUCUCCUACCUGACCACCCACCAGCCGUCCAGGAGCUUAUGAAUGACCUCAAUGGUUUCACCCUGGGCCAGGGACAUCUCGUCCUCUUCCACGGCAGUGUAGGCUUUGAUGGUGACAUAGGGCUCACCUGGGCGGUGAUGGGGGCACAGGGCAUGACGUGAGGGUCUGCCAGCGGGGACACCACCGACUCUCCUCACUCCUGCCUCUGUAGGUGCCUCCUGCCACCCACUGCUGGGGUCCACUCUGGACCUCAGCCCUCUGCCCGCUGUGCUCAGGGGAGCAGCCUCCCACCCCCGACCAGCCACACCAGGGGAGAGGCGUCUCAUCACUACCGCAGCCUGGUCAGGCGCCCAGAUAGGAAAGGCAGGUGGGGCGCAUGCGGGCCCGAGGCACCCGGGGCCCCCCAGCACUGGCCAGUGUCGGCCUUGUCUAGUUUUAAAAGGAGCCACAGAUCCCCGACUCCCGCCUGCAAUGCUGAAAUCUCUGUUUGAAACAUGACCGACCAGCGGUUUCCACGCCGGCCCUGGCUGCCCGCCUCCCCUUCUGGACAGCCCUCCACCCCAGCCGCAGGCCUUCUGCUGGGCCAGCCCUGACGGCCACCGCUGUGACCCAGCCUGACCUCCUCCUGCGCCCCUGCUUCUGUUCCACUUCCUGGUUCCCAGUCUUGGCCGUCCUGGGAGACAAGGGCCCCAAGCCCACAGUGCUGGGCCUCCGCCUCUGCCUCCCCGGCAGCCAGACCAAACCCAAAGCCGUCACCUGGCUCCUCAUCCCGGGCCCUCCUGCCCGGCCCCCGGCUCUCCCAGGGCCUGCGAGGGCCGGGUCACCUGCAUAGUUGGGCUCCGGGUCCUCGGCCUCAUCGGGACUGUCCAGGGGCUCCAGGAAGGACGCUGGGACCCAGCCGCGCUUGGCCUUCAUUUGGCAGAACCACCAGCCUGUCAGGGAGCAGGGAGGGACUGAACCCAGGGGCGCCUACCCACUGAGCCCUUCCUUUUUUUGAGACGGGGUCUCAUCAUAUUGCCCAGGCUGGCCUUGAACUCCGGGCUCCAUGCCCCCUGCCACAGCCGCCCGCGUGCUGGGAUUACAGGCAGAUGCCACCACACUGGCUUCAUGAGCCGACAUGUUUAAGACAGCGCCUGGCACACAGUUGCUGGGAGCCAGGGGCUGUGCGGGGCUCUGCAGCCACCUGCACGGUGACCCCCAAAGGCCCAAGUCUUCCAUGGAGGACAGGAGCCUGCAUAGCCCGCCCUCCCCAGCGGCUCUCUGCCCUGCGUGCCCCACCUCUGGGUCCCUGACCAUGGCGGCAGUGCCCGCGGGCCCCGGCCCUGCCCCGCCUCACCUGCUGCAUUACUCUUGCCAUCUUUGGGCACCAGCUGUGUGACUUCGGGCAGCUCCCUGGCUCUCUCUGAGCUUGGGUCUUCUGGUCUGGAAACGGGGAAGGCCCCUGCCCUCCGGGCUGACUGCCCACCGCCCGCUCCUGCCCGGCCACUCACUGGCUGUCCGUGGGGAGCUUGAGGUCUUCCGGGCGCACCUUGAAGAAGUCCAGCAGGUGGGGGCAGCGCGAGAUCUUGGUGGGCAGCCCCAAGAGCGCCCUGCAGUACUCGCGAGGCCUCUCCCUGGUGGCCGCGUGGACAGUCGCCCUCCCACCUGGUUCUCCUUCCGACUUCCCUGUUCUUCUGUCCACCGUUCUGAUGUGACCCACGUACCACUCAAGUGGCUAUUGUUUCCGUCUGUUCCCCGCCUCCUCCGCUGGAUCCAGAGUCUGUGAGGAGGGCGGGGGCUCCACCGGCUUCUCCCACCCUCGCCACCGUGGCCGCGUGUGCUGCCCGCUGACUACCUGCACAUGGCACUUAGUAGGUGCUCACUAAGCCCUCGAGCCCACCAGUUAGCCGCAGGGGCUGACCUACAAUGGAAGGAGCUAGGACUGCGGGGAGAGGACAUGGAGCCACCAGCGCACCAGCCAGGGCAGAUCUCAAGCCCAGUCGGCAACAGCCACGGCAGGAAAGGCGCUAAAAAAUGUAUAUAAAAAAUGUUGAAAAAGAGAAAUCCUCCAAGCAAAUCAAGCGCCAUGAUCGCCAAGUCUGGGGCUGGCGCGGAGCUCAGCGCGUCUCCCUUGAAGUUUCUUGCCUGGCAGAUGCAGGACCCCGCGCAGCCGCAGGAUGCCUUCCGGCUUUACGGAGGCUUUGCAGGUGCAGGUUGGCUAUUAUUUACAAAGGAAAAACAGCAGCUUGACAACAGAGAGACUUGGAAGACACAGCCAUGACCGAGGGUCCAAAAGGGGCAAGUGGAAACCGCAGCGCCCUACAGCUAGGGUGAGCGAAGGCUGGCUUGGCCGCAAAGAUGGCCCUGCCCAGGCCGCCAGAGUCGGUCUCACGGAGGCCUCGGACGGGCACCGACGGAGGGACACUCUGCAGAGCCCUGGCCUGCACUCUCCAGAACACCAGUUGAGGAGGACGAAGGCCAAUUAAGAAGGACCCAGCUGGAAGCCGGGCGCGGUGGCGCACCUGCAAUACCAGGGGCUCCCCGGCCUGAGGCAGGGGGACCCCAAGUCCAAAGCCGGCCUUGGUAAGGGAGCGAGACCCUGUCCCAGAAUAAAGAAUAAAAGGGCUGGGGCGUGGCUCCGUGCAAAGCACCCUGGGUCCACCCUAGCCCUGGCCCCUGCCCCGAAGAAAAGGCUGAUCCUGACUAGAGAAGACGCAGCGGCGACUGGUCACAGCCCGAGGCUGGAUCUGAAGAAGCGCUCAACUCCCGAGGACAAGCGGGCCCAGCAGCCGUGGCUGGAGACCGGGGCCUGCACGUUCCAUCCCUGGAGUUGGACUCGUGGGCAUCGCAGUUGCGUAACAGAAAGUCCGUGGUUUUAAGAAAUGCAGGGCACUAGGGUCAAGAAGUAGUGUCCCAACUUCCCCUGAAGUCGCCCAGAGUCACAAUCUACUAAGUGGAGUUCCUCCCUGGCCUCCUCUGGGCCUGGGGACCCAGGGACCGGUGGCUUUCAGGGCAGGACGGGACAUUUUUGCUCCCCAUGUUGGUGCGGCCUGGAGACCCCAGUGUAACUGACACCCAGGGCCACUU